AGUGAACGCUGGCGGUAGGCCUAACACAUGCAAGUCGAACGGCAGCACAGUAAGAGCUUGCUCUUACGGGUGGCGAGUGGCGGACGGGUGAGGAAUACAUCGUAAUCUACUUUUUCGUGGGGGAUAACGUAGGGAAACUUACGCUAAUACCGCAUACGACCUACGGGUGAAAGCAGGGGAUCUUCGGACCUUGCGCGAUUGAAUGAGCCGAUGUCGGAUUAGCUAGUUGGCGGGGUAAAGGCCCACCAAGGCGACGAUCCGUAGCUGGUCUGAGAGGAUGAUCAGGCACACUGGAACUGAGACACGGUCCAGACUCCUACGGGAGGCAGCAGUGGGGAAUAUUGGACAAUGGGCGCAAGCCUGAUCCAGCCAUACCGCGUGAGUGAAGAAGGCCUUCGGGUUGUAAAGCCCUUUUGUUGGGAAAGAAAAGCAGCAGGUUAAUACCCCGCUGUUCUGACGGUACCCAAAGAAUAAGCACCGGCUAACUUCGUG
This 492-nucleotide ribosomal RNA is filed under the name uncultured bacterium. Its description in RNAcentral is "partial 16S ribosomal RNA". It matches the Rfam family "Bacterial small subunit ribosomal RNA", at positions 29 to 507 of the family's 1533-position model. The record is from RNAcentral.